GGACCCAUAGCUCAACUGGAUAGAGCAGCGACCUUCUAAGUCGCAGGUUGCCGGAUCGUGCCCGGCUGGGUUCUCCA
RNAcentral lists this transfer RNA (77 nucleotides) under Ochrobactrum soli. RNAcentral's name for it is "tRNA-Arg-TCT". It matches the Rfam family "tRNA". Rfam says of the family: Transfer RNA (tRNA) molecules are approximately 80 nucleotides in length. Their secondary structure includes four short double-helical elements and three loops (D, anti-codon, and T loops). The record is from RNAcentral. Lineage: Bacteria; Pseudomonadati; Pseudomonadota; Alphaproteobacteria; Hyphomicrobiales; Brucellaceae.